This 2209-nucleotide ribosomal RNA is filed under the name Salmonella enterica subsp. enterica serovar London. Its description in RNAcentral is "partial 23S ribosomal RNA". It matches the Rfam family "Bacterial large subunit ribosomal RNA", at positions 1 to 2141 of the family's 2925-position model. The record is from RNAcentral. Lineage: Bacteria; Pseudomonadati; Pseudomonadota; Gammaproteobacteria; Enterobacterales; Enterobacteriaceae.
GGGUUGUGAGGUUAAGCGACUAAGCGUACACGGUGGAUGCCCUGGCAGUCAGAGGCGAUGAAGGGCGUGCUAAUCUGCGAUAAGCGCCGGUAAGGUGAUAUGAACCGUUAUAACCGGCGAUACCCGAAUGGGGAAACCCAGUGUGAUUCGUCACACUAUCAUUAACUGAAUCCAUAGGUUAAUGAGGCGAACCGGGGGAACUGAAACAUCUAAGUACCCCGAGGAAAAGAAAUCAACCGAGAUUCCCCCAGUAGCGGCGAGCGAACGGGGAGGAGCCCAGAGCCUGAAUCAGCAUGUGUGUUAGUGGAAGCGUCUGGAAAGGCGCGCGAUACAGGGUGACAGCCCCGUACACAAAAGCGCAUGUGCUGUGAGCUCGAUGAGUAGGGCGGGACACGUGGUAUCCUGUCUGAAUAUGGGGGGACCAUCCUCCAAGGCUAAAUACUCCUGACUGACCGAUAGUGAACCAGUACCGUGAGGGAAAGGCGAAAAGAACCCCGGCGAGGGGAGUGAAAAAGAACCUGAAACCGUGUACGUACAAGCAGUGGGAGCACAGGUUUACCUGUGUGACUGCGUACCUUUUGUAUAAUGGGUCAGCGACUUAUAUUCUGUAGCAAGGUUAACCGUAUAGGGGAGCCGUAGGGAAACCGAGUCUUAACCGGGCGUUAAGUUGCAGGGUAUAGACCCGAAACCCGGUGAUCUAGCCAUGGGCAGGUUGAAGGUUGGGUAACACUAACUGGAGGACCGAACCGACUAAUGUUGAAAAAUUAGCGGAUGACCUGUGGCUGGGGGUGAAAGGCCAAUCAAACCGGGAGAUAGCUGGUUCUCCCCGAAAGCUAUUUAGGUAGCGCCUCGUGAAUUCAUCUCCGGGGGUAGAGCACUGUUUCGGCUAGGGGGCCAUCCCGGCUUACCAACCCGAUGCAAACUGCGAAUACCGGAGAAUGUUAUCACGGGAGACACACGGCGGGUGCUAACGUCCGUCGUGAAGAGGGAAACAACCCAGACCGCCAGCUAAGGUCCCAAAGUCAUGGUUAAGUGGGAAACGAUGUGGGAAGGCCCAGACAGCCAGGAUGUUGGCUUAGAAGCAGCCAUCAUUUAAAGAAAGCGUAAUAGCUCACUGGUCGAGUCGGCCUGCGCGGAAGAUGUAACGGGGCUAAACCAUGCACCGAAGCUGCGGCAGCGAACGUAUCACUUAAAGCGAUUCAGCGGGUUACGAUUGACGGAGCGAAGCGACGUCAAAGCGUAUACAAAGUCGAGUCGGUUUAAGGAUACGUUCGUUGGGUAGGGGAGCGUUCUGUAAGCCUGUGAAGGUGUGUCGUGAGGCAUGCUGGAGGUAUCAGAAGUGCGAAUGCUGACAUAAGUAACGAUAAAGCGGGUGAAAAGCCCGCUCGCCGGAAGACCAAGGGUUCCUGUCCAACGUUAAUCGGGGCAGGGUGAGUCGACCCCUAAGGCGAGGCCGAAAGGCGUAGUCGAUGGGAAACGGGUUAAUAUUCCCGUACUUGGUGUUACUGCGAAGGGGGGACGGAGAAGGCUAUGUUGGCCGGGCGACGGUUGUCCCGGUUUAAGCGUGUAGGUGUGUGUUCCAGGUAAAUCCGGUUCACUUUAACACUGAGGCGUGAUGACGAGGCACUACGGUGCUGAAGCAACAAAUGCCCUGCUUCCAGGAAAAGCCUCUAAGCAUCAGGUAACAUCAAAUCGUACCCCAAACCGACACAGGUGGUCAGGUAGAGAAUACCAAGGCGCUUGAGAGAACUCGGGUGAAGGAACUAGGCAAAAUGGUGCCGUAACUUCGGGAGAAGGCACGCUGACACGUAGGUGAAGUGAUUUACUCACGGAGCUGAAGUCAGUCGAAGAUACCAGCUGGCUGCAACUGUUUAUUAAAAACACAGCACUGUGCAAACACGAAAGUGGACGUAUACGGUGUGACGCCUGCCCGGUGCCGGAAGGUUAAUUGAUGGGGUCAGCGCAAGCGAAGCUCCUGAUCGAAGCCCCGGUAAACGGCGGCCGUAACUAUAACGGUCCUAAGGUAGCGAAAUUCCUUGUCGGGUAAGUUCCGACCUGCACGAAUGGCGUAAUGAUGGCCAGGCUGUCUCCACCCGAGACUCAGUGAAAUUGAACUCGCUGUGAAGAUGCAGUGUACCCGCGGCAAGACGGAAAGACCCCGUGAACCUUUACUAUAGCUUGACACUGAACAUUGAGCCUUGAUGUGUAG